AAUUAUAUAUGCAUGUUCUCUAUUUGACUCUAUUUUCACCUUGUGAUACCAAUUUUGAUAGGAAGCUAGGAGAUAUUGUGGAUAUUUUGAAUGGGUUGAAUUGCCUCCCAAUAAAAAUGAAACAACAAGUGCGAUGAAUAGGUUCAAGUGAGCUUACUGAUGGAUCAUAAUACAAAACUUAAGGAGAAGUUGAAAAUUUUGAGAAGGGCUUAAAAAGGAAAUGGAAGUUAAUAGACUUAAAGUGGGAAACUCAAAACUCAUUAUAUGUAGUGUAUUGUCAUGGACUGUCGCUUUGGUUGAAAUUUUUUAAUGAAUUUGCAUGAUGUAAUGGUAGUUAAUUGAUUGUAAUGGGUGAUGGUUUAAGAAAAUUGAUCAAUUAUGCAUUUUCAUUAUCAUGGAUUGUAAUUGUGACGCCCCCAAAUUCGAGUAUCUUUCAACCCAACAGAUGGUGCUCCACGGUACUACAGUUCACAUAAACAUUCAAUUGAAAUGCCUCAAAAGAACGAAUAUGUCUUAUAUAUAUUCCAAAAUAAUAUUUCCAUUCAUGUCUUCGUUUUAACUCGU
RNAcentral lists this long non-coding RNA (564 nucleotides) under Panax ginseng (ginseng). Its description in RNAcentral is "long non-coding RNA (PGIN_LNC014012)". The record is from RNAcentral. Lineage: Eukaryota; Viridiplantae; Streptophyta; Magnoliopsida; Apiales; Araliaceae.